RNAcentral lists this transfer RNA (65 nucleotides) under Thaumatomyia glabra. Its description in RNAcentral is "tRNA-Ala". It matches the Rfam family "tRNA". Rfam says of the family: Transfer RNA (tRNA) molecules are approximately 80 nucleotides in length. Their secondary structure includes four short double-helical elements and three loops (D, anti-codon, and T loops). Further hydrogen bonds mediate the characteristic L-shaped molecular structure. tRNAs have two regions of fundamental functional importance: the anti-codon, which is responsible for specific mRNA codon recognition, and the 3' end, to which the tRNAs corresponding amino acid is attached (by aminoacyl-tRNA synthetases). tRNAs cope with the degeneracy of the genetic code in two manners: having more than one tRNA (with a specific anti-codon) for a particular amino acid; and 'wobble' base-pairing, i.e. permitting non-standard base-pairing at the 3rd anti-codon position. The record is from RNAcentral. Lineage: Eukaryota; Metazoa; Arthropoda; Insecta; Diptera; Chloropidae.
AGGGUUGUAGUUAAAUUAACAUUUGAUUUGCAUUCAAAAAAUACUAAUUAUAUUAGUCUACCUUG